This 386-nucleotide ribosomal RNA is filed under the name uncultured bacterium. Its description in RNAcentral is "bacterial SSU rRNA". It matches the Rfam family "Bacterial small subunit ribosomal RNA", at positions 355 to 757 of the family's 1533-position model. The record is from RNAcentral.
UAGGGAAUAUUGGUUAAUGUGCGAAAGCGCGAACCAGCAACGCCGCGUGUGCGAUGAAGGCCUUCGGGUCGUAAAGCACUUUUUGCAGGGAAGAGGAAGGACGGUACCUGCAGAAUAAGUCUCGGCUAACUACGUGCCAGCAGCCGCGGUAAAACGUAGGAGACGAGCGUUAUCCGGAUUUACUGGGCGUAAAGCGCGUGCAGGCGGCAUGGCAAGUUGGAUGUGAAAGCUCCCGGCUUAACUGGGAGAGGUCGUUCAAUACUGCCAGGGUAGAGAGUGGUAGAGGGAAGGGGAAUUCCGGGGGUGGUGGUGGAAUGGGGAGAUAUCGGGAGGAACACCAGUGGCGAGAGGGGCUGCCUGGCGCAUUUCUGACGGUCAGACGCGAA